CUCGGCUGCAUGAAGCUGGAAUCGCUAGUAAUCGCGGAUCAGAAUGCCGCGGUGAAUACGUUCCCGGGUCUUGUACACACCGCCCGUCACACCAUGAGAGUUGGCAAUACCCAACGUACGUGAUCUAACCCGCAAGGGAGGAAGCGUCCUAAGGUAGGGUCAGCGAUUGGGGUGAAGUCGUAACAAGGUAAC
RNAcentral lists this ribosomal RNA (192 nucleotides) under uncultured bacterium. Its description in RNAcentral is "partial 16S ribosomal RNA". It matches the Rfam family "Bacterial small subunit ribosomal RNA", at positions 1311 to 1500 of the family's 1533-position model. The record is from RNAcentral.